This 5860-nucleotide long non-coding RNA is filed under the name Triticum aestivum (bread wheat). Its description in RNAcentral is "long non-coding RNA (TAES_LNC028593)". The record is from RNAcentral. Lineage: Eukaryota; Viridiplantae; Streptophyta; Magnoliopsida; Poales; Poaceae.
CGCUCGAUCUCGGCGUAGAUGUACGUACUUUGGUAGUCUGUUUGGCGAUUUGUAGUCCACUACUAGUAGUAUAAUUUUCGCAUGCUGCAUGGAUUUUCCCUUGGAAUUGGCCCGAUGAUGAUUCGCUGAAACCCCCAAUGCGGGGAUGUGGAUGGACAGAUCGGCUCAGAUCUGAGCUCGAAAACGGAUCAGAAAUGGCUAAUGCGGCGCUGGCUACUCUGUUCUGGGCGCUGAGGCCUGUGUCUGGGUCAGCCGUUGCUUCCGCUGAAGCUCUGCCACUGACCUAGGGCCGGCCCUUGUUGAGGUCGCUCUACCUCUCCGUCCUCCUCCUCCUCCUCGUCGCCGCCGCACUUUUGCCAUGGCCUCGCCUCGCCUCGCUGCUUCUUUUGGUUCACCCAGACAUGCCCCAGUGCCAGCUUUGGAGCCCGCCGCACUAGCCUGCGAUGAAAACUGAAAUCUGAGGGCCAUAUUGUGAUACAGAAUUCUCAGUAUUUUCUUCUGAAUUGAACUCUUUUGCACUGUAAUAUAGACAGCUUCUGCACAUUGUGUUUAUGUGUUAUAUUCUGGUGUGGUAUGCAAUGCAAUGGUGGAAUGGAAUGCCAUCUUACAAUGUCUGGAGCACUCCUUGGCUAGUGAUUUGGUAGGAUAAUUAAUCGAUUGCACUGAAUCACCCGCGCUAAUCUCCUAUUGCUAUUUUCCUCCUUGUUUCCUUCGGCUUUCUGGUGGUUUGAUGCUUUGUUCUGAUGGUUUGUUUUGUGCAUUUGUAGUGUAUACUAUGUUUCACUUGUUGCAUGGAUUUUCCUUUCUCCUGGCCUGAUGAUGAUUAGGGCGAAAGGUCCAUAUGGGGAUGGAUAGAUGGAUCGAUUGAUCGGCUCAGGUUUGAGCUUGAAAUGGGAUCAGCCGUUGCAUUCGCAAGGUUGAAGACCCUGAAAUGGCUAAUACAGUGCCGGCCUUCUCUGUUCUAGGCGCUGAGGCAUGGGUGCUUGGGUUAGCCGUUGCUUUUGCUCAAGCUCCGCCACUGACUGUUGGGAUGUUUCCCUUCUUCCUUCUCUUCCUAUCAGCUCAUGUGUCACCGUGGUGACACAGCUGUUGCCGCCGUCAUCGUCGUUGUCAUCACCAUCACCACCACCGCCUCGUCUUCUCUAUUGGUCCACCCAGACUCGUCACUGUGCCAGCUUUGAAGCCUGCUGCAUUAGCCUAUGAUGAACCUGAAUUCUGAGGGCCAUGUUGUAAUACGAAUUCUCGGGAUUUUCAUUUGAAUCGAACUCUUUUGUGUGGACUCACUGUAAAACAGCCAGCUUGCACAUGGUGUUAUACUGUUGUGUAGUGUGCAAUGGUGUAACGCGAACUCACAAUGUGUGAAGCAGUGCUUUGGGCCAUGCAUAUGCGCCUGUCUGUCUUUGCCGAGAUCUAGGCUAGUGUUUUGGUAAGAUGCUGGUCACACUGAAUGAGCCACACCCAUCCCUCGUGUGUUAGAUAUGAUGGCGUAGAAUCACACUGACAGAUCUUACCAGUCCAUCUGAGGUUCAUUUUUUGUACAUCUAUAUUCUUGUUUUUAUUUCUUUUACCUUAUUCUAUCUAUGUCAUGUGUCAUCUCAAGAACUGUUCAUUUGCCAUUCGUGAAUGCAAGUUGGCUCUUUUGUAGAAAAUAUGACAUGCUUUUGCUAAAGAAAUAGUGAUUAAAAUACUUUUGAUUUCUUUUCUGUUUUUCUUUCAGUUACUUCUCUUAGCAGUUUAAUCUCAUAUUACAUCUUCCAUUUAAUAAGAUCCCAACUGUGAAAUUUUGGCUUUGCACCAAAAUUUCUGUUUUGAGUUUUUGACUAUAUCAUGAUGGUAUUUUUUCGGGAUGGUGGUUAGAAGCAUGUAUUGCCUAAUGAUGAAAACUAAUGUCAAGAGAUGGCACAUGACANNNNNNNNNNNNNNNNNNNNNNNNNNNNNNNNNNNNNNNNNNNNNNNNNNNNNNNNNNNNNNNNNNNNNNNNNNNNNNNNNNNNNNNNNNNNNNNNNNNNNNNNNNNNNNNNNNNNNNNNNNNNNNNNNNNNNNNNNNNNNNNNNNNNNNNNNNNNNNNNNNNNNNNNNNNNNNNNNNNNNNNNNNNNNNNNNNNCGUACAUUGGCAGAGAAUCUACCUUUCUUCAUGCCCUUACGGGUGAAUUGAAGAUCAUCUCUUGUGCCAUCAAUGAAUGCUACAUAUUUGAACAUGUGAAGGCACAGGCUUCAUUUUCAUAUCACAAAUUAUUGGCGAAGUUAUGUUUGACAUAUUUAUUUGGUUUCAUCUUCCAGAUCUGUAUAUAUUUGGUUGAUGCAAACCCUUCAUUUGCACUAUUAUUUCUUAUGCUUAGAUUAUGUUAAGUGUUCACUUCUAUACAUCGCCCGAUGAUGAAAAUUGAAAAUGUAGAGAUGGCACUUGGACAUGAUCCUCUCCUCCCUGUUCUCCUCCUCCUCCUCCUCCUCCUUCUCUCUCUCUCUCUCUCUCUCUCUCUCUGCGUGAUGCGUAAUGGCACAUGCAGCAGCAGCAGCAGCAGCAGUUCACACCAGAUCAAUCUUUCACUUGCCUUAUGGACAAAAGGGAGAUCAUUUCUUGUGCCAUCAAUGAAUGCUACAUCUAUGGCACCUGAGGGCACGACGUUUCUUUACCUUACAUUAAUAACCGACAAAAUUUGCAUGGAUAUUAUUUUCAAUUUCAUCUUCCUUCAAUAGCAUUGCUGUCUCUUACGUUCAGAUUUUGCAUUAUUUUCGCUUUUUCCUUUUGCUUCAUCAUUUUUGUGCAUUUGUUGUGGUUCCAUCUGAUUAUAAUUAAGUUUGCUCUGUGAUUUCUUCAUUACUUUUGUAGUACCUUCUUAGCUUGUUGUUUUGCGUUUCACCUCAGUGGAGGAAAACCUUUGGUGUUUCAUGAUUUAUCACGACUGAUCACUGUUGUAAAUCAGCUUGCAUUUGAGUUUCGAUCUCGAAGUGUAGCCCUUUACCAGGGUGAAGGUUUUGAAAUGGCCAAAGUAUUGUUGGUUUCUGUCUGUAAUGUUUAUUAGUGGUUUUAAGUUAGUAUUCUGGUUAUGAUUUGUGCUUCAAAAUUGCCCAUCUCCUACGUCUAUUUCCCCCUUCGAUUCCUUUGGCUCUCCGGUGGUUUGAUGCUUUGUUCCGGUCGAUCUCGGUGUAGAUGUACUUUGGUCGUAGUCUGUUUGGUGCUUUGUAGUCUACUAGUAGUACUAUAUUUUCCGCAUGCUGCAUGGAUUUUCCCUCGGAUUGGCCCGAUGAUGAUUAGGCUGAAACCCCCAAUGCGGGGAUGUGGAUGGAUGAAUAGAUAGAUAGAUCGGCUCAGAUCUGAGCUCGAAAAGGGAUCAGUCGUUAAGUUGCAAGGUUGAAUGAAGCCCCUGAAAUGGCUAAAUGCGGCGCUGGCUUCUCAGUUCUAGGCGCUGAGGCCUGUGUCUGGGUCAGCCGUUGCUUCCGCUGAAGCUCUGCCACUGACCUAGGGCCGGCCCUUGUUGAGGUCUGCCUCUCCGUCCUUCUCCUCCUCCUCGUCGCCGGCGCACUUUUGCCAUGGCCUCGCCUCGCCUCUUCUUUCGGUUCACACAGACGCGUCCCAGUGCCGGCUUUGGAGCCCGCCGCAUUAGCCUACGAUGAAACCGAAAUCUGAGGGCCAUGUUGUGAACAGAGUUCCUGGUAUUUUCGUCUGAAUCGAACUCUUCUGCACGGUCGCACUGUAAAAAGACAGCUUCUGUACAUUGUUUUAUAUUGUAGUGUAGUAUGCAAUGUUGGAAUGGAAUGCCAUCUUAUUGGUAAGAUAAUUAAUCGAUUACACUGAAUCACCUGCGCUAAUCUCCUAUGGGUAUUUUUCUCUUUGUUUCCUUCGGCUUUCUGGUGGUUUGAUGCUUUGUUCUGAUCGAUCUCGGCUUAAAUUUACUUUGGUGGUUUGUUUUGCGCAUUUGCAGUGUAUGCUAUGUUUUCGCUUGUUGCCUGGAUUUUCCUCUCUCAUGGCCUGAUGAUGAUUAGGGUGAAAAGGCCCAUGUGGGGAUGGAUAGAUAGAUCGAUUAAUCGGCUCAGGUUUGAGCUUGAAAUGGGAUCAACUGUUGCAUUUGGAAGGAAAGCCCCUGAAAUGGCUAAUACAGUGCUGGCCUUCUCUGUUCUAGGCGCUGAGGCAUGUGUGCUUGGGUUAGCCAUUGCUUUUGCUCAAGCUCCGCCACUGGCUGAUGGGAUGUUUCCCUUCUUCCUUCUCUUUCUACCAGCUCAUGUGUCACCAUGGUGACACAGCUGUCGCUGCCGUCUCGUCGUUGUCACCACCACCAUUGCCUGGUCUUCUCUAUCGGUCCACCCAGACACGUCACAGUGCCAGCUUUGAAGCCCGCUGCAUUAGCCUUUGAUGAACCUGAAAUCUGAGGGCCAUGUUGUAAUACGAAUUCUCAGGAUUUUUAUUUGAAUCGAACUGUUUUGUGUGGACUCACUGUAAAACAGCCAGCUUGCACAUGAUGUUAUACUGUUGUGUAGUGGGCAAUGCUGGAACGCCAACUCACAAUGUCUAAAGCAGUGCUUUGGGCCAUGCAUGUGCGCCUGCAUGUCUUUGCCGAGAUCUAGGUUAGUGUUUUGGUAAGAUAAUUAACUGGUUGCACUGAAUUAGUCACACCCAUCCGUCGUGUGUUAGAUAUGAUGGCGUAGGAUCACACUGACAGAUCUUACCAGUUCAUCUGAGGUUCAUUUUUUGUACAUCUAUAUUCUUGUUUUCGUUUCUUUUGCCUUAUUCUGUGUCAUGUGUCAUUUCAAUAACUGUUAAUUUGCCAUUCGUGAAUGCAGGUUGGCUCUUUUGUAGGGAAUAUGACAUGCUUUUGCUAAAGAAAUAGUGAUUAAACACUUUUGAUUUGUUCUCCGCUGCAUUGCCCUGUCUCCUACGUCUAUUUACCCCUUCGAUUUCUCUGGCUUUCCGGUGGUUUGAUGCUUUGUUCCGGUCGAUCUCGGCGUAGAUGUACUUUGGUAGUCUGUUUGGUGAUUUGUAGUAUAUUUUCGCAUGCUGCAUGGAUUUUCUCUUGGAUUAGUCCGAUGAUGAUUAGGCUGAAACCCCCAAUGCAGGGAUGUGGAUGGAUGGGUAAACAGAUAGAUCGGCUCAGAUCUGAGCUCGAAAAGCGAUCAGCCGUUGUGUUGCAAGGUUGAAGCCCCUGAAAUGGCUAAUGCGGUGCUGGCUUCUCUGUUAUGGGCGCUGAGGCCUGUGUCUGGGUCAGCCGUUGCUUCCGCUGAAGCUCUGCCACUGACCUAGGGCCGGCCCUUUUUGAGGUCUACCUCUCCGUCCUUCUCCUCCUCCUCCUUGUCGCCGUCGCACUUUUGCCAUGGCCUCGCCUCGCUUCUUGUUUCGGUUCACCUAGACACGCCCCAGUGCCAGCUUCGGAGCCCGCCGCAUUAGCCUACGAUGAAACUGAAAUCUGAGGGCCAUGUUGUGAUGCAGAAUUCCCGGUAUUUUUGUCUGAAUCGAGCUCUUCUGCACGGUCACACUGUAAAACAGACAGCUUCUGCACAUUGUGUUAUAUUCUAUAGUGUAGUAUGCAAUGGUGGAAUGGAAUGCCAUCUUACAAUGUGUGGAGCACUCCUAGGCUAGUGAUUUGGUAGGAUAAUUAAUCGAUUGCACUGAAUCACCCGAGCUAAUCUCCUAUUGGCUAUUUUCCUCUUUGUUUCCUUCGGCUUUCUGGUGGUUUGUUGCUUUGUUCUAAUCGAUCUCGGCUUAAAUUUACUUUCAUGGUUUGUUUGUGCAUUUGUAGUGUAUAUACUAUGUUUUCGCUUGUUGCAUGGAUUUUCCUUUCUCUUGGCCUGAUGAUGAUUAGGGUGAAAGGCCCAUGUGGGGAUGGAUAGAUAGAUCGAUUGAUCGGCUCAGGUUUGAGCUUGAAAU